This is a non-coding RNA of Taeniopygia guttata (zebra finch), 2632 nucleotides long. The record is from RefSeq and is a predicted model, not a curated record. Lineage: Eukaryota; Metazoa; Chordata; Aves; Passeriformes; Estrildidae.
UGUCCCGCCGUGCCGCCCCGCCAUGGCGGCGGGUCGCGGCUCCCGCCGAGGGGUGCACCUGUGCGAAGGGACGGGGGCCAAGGGAAAGGCCGCUGGCCUCCGUCCCGGCGGGGAAGCGGCUCCGGUACUGGCCGCGGAGAGAUCAUGUCGACCUAAUGAUCCCAUGAGGCUUACAGCUGAAAGCCAGAACACUGCAUUUGAAAUAUCUCUAUAUUAAACUUUAUUUGUAGGACUCAGGUGGAGACCUCCCUGCCCAGCAUGAAAACUGAGCUCAUACCAGUGGUACUGCUAAAGCUAGCUGAUGAUUUCAUCAUCCACACUUCCAGACCGCUCAAGCUUGGACAGCAAGCUAGGCUGUACUAUGGAGGAGGUGGCCAUGAAAAGCAAAGAGACAAAUUGCUUCACUGAUGUAUCUGUUGUGACUGCUAAAGAAAAAUGGGAAACCAGGCAAUUACCAAGGUAAUUACUGAUUUCACCGUUUGCUGCCUCUCACAGUAAUAUUACAUGUUCAUCCUCCAUUUUUGAAAGUUUAAUCGUUAGACCAUAAUAAAACACAAUAAUCCUUUAAAUUUAAAUAUUUUUUGUCAAGUUAUUUUGAGAAAUAUGGUUCUCCAUGUUUUAAAAUUUUUAACUCAAUUUUCAUGAGUAGGAAAGGAAAGCACAUUGAACUUCUCAUGUAUUCCAAUAUAAUUUCCCAAACUUGGGUAUAGCUCGAAGCUUUGUCUGGAAAAGCCAAUUAAGGCUGAUCCUGGCACUUUACAGUAACAGCAACAAUAGCAACUUACCUUAAGACCAAAGACACCAAAAUUAUAGUCAAGGAUUCUUAAUGACAAUGCAUCUCUAAUGCAGGAAUAUGCAUGUCUGCAUUAAUUUUGAGCUUAAAUUUUAUCUGUACUGAGUGAAAUAAAAAUAACCUCUGACAUAGAACUCUCCUCCAUUUUGAAUUUGACUUGGGCAUUUAAAAAAAUAGCUCUCUCUAUCUGUCAGUGAGGACACAUUCAAAUAUCCAGGAUUGUAGUAGUCUUUUCCCCCACUUCAAUGUAAGCAAAGUGACCAGACAAUAUCAGAUCAUAAGGAGAACAAAGAGACUUUAUCAUCUAAGGUUAUACUAUCCAUGACUGGUGGACAUAUGUUGGCAGGCUUGAAAGAAAACAAUAACUCUGCAGGAUUUUAGACUUUUAUUGAAAAUUUAUGAAGCUAGCAAAUCAAAGUCAGUUAAAAUCUGAACGUAACUAUCCCAGCUGUAGGAAAACUAACUACAAUGAAACAAUACCGUUACAAUUCAAACAAUGAUAAUCAAAUUAAUUGUUGUAUAAAUAAAAUGCUAUGAAAUCGCAAAUUAUUUUGAGCAGUGGGUGAAAUCAUCAAGGAAACACUGUAUGGUUUAAAUAAUGAAUGUGUGUAACACUCAGACAAGGGCUUGAAGUAUGCCCUCAGUUCUUGAACAAGUGGUAUAUGAAGUACUGAAAUAUGAGUAUAUACAAAUAUAUGGAAUAUGCAUCAACAAAAGAGAAAAGUAGUGAGUUUAGACUUUUUUUUUUUCUUGUGUUUCCCACUGGUUACCCUUAGAUAGUUUCCUGCCCAUCAUUUAAGUCUUCUAAUCCCAUUUCAGGAGCAAAUUUGGUUAGGAUUUGAGAUGUGCUGCUUUAAGGGGGUCCCAUGCUCUUAUUCAUUAUGGUCUGUCUCAGACCAGAUUUCUCAUGAUCUCUCUGGUGUAAAUGAUUCAGUAGUUAAGGAAAAAGAUAUUUGAAUAUCUUUGAAAUAUGAGGGUUAGAGCUGUAAUCAGCCAAUUUCAUUCCGUUGCUAAUUCAUACCAUGCAAUUUACUUUAAUGACAAGACUCCUCAGGGUAGCACAUGAUGUGACUUCUUGGUGUUCUCAUUUGGCCUGAAGACACUGGUGUUUUCUAGAGAAAACCAUACGUGCCAAGUUUCCUACCUCAGUGAGAAAGAACAGUCCAUACUCAGUGGCACAUACGCAACUGGACAUCAGUCUAGCAUGCAGCAGACUUAAAUUCAGAAUAUAAAAAUCCACUCCAAAAUAAGUGACUGCAGAUAUUUUUUUUUGUCUGUCUGCCAGUUUUUUUGUGAGUAGUAAAAAUCUCUUUUAAGGAAUGAGCAAUCUGCGCAUGUAUAUACAAUAUUUAUAUAAACUAUACAUAUACUUUUUCUAAACAUAUUUAGAAAAAGUAAUAAACCUUGAAAAAUAAAGGAAUUGGAAGUUUAUGCAUGUAAGAUUCAUUCCAGUAUAUAUCUCUCCAGCUACACAUGAUGGCUUGACCUAUGUGUCUAUGCAAGUUUUGAAAAUUAACUAAUUAUUUUGAAAAUCUUCUAUAGAAUGCAGAGUCUGGAGAGAAGGAGUGUUAGCACACACAGAGUUUCUUAGGGAACAGAAGAAGAACAUUUGUAAACAAGGAAUGUGUAACUUCUGAGUUACAUUUGAAUAAAAUAGUCACUUAAAUAGUUGCUGCUCUACUUUGCUUUCCUGUAAAUAAAUUGUGAAAAACUCCAACCUAUUGUUUUCCUCAGUUUACACUGUUACAAAUAAAUAAGAGAGAGCUUAAAGACUCUAACCAGCUCUCCAGCAUUAAACUCUGCAAACUCUCCAGGUAAAGUCUUGCAGCAUAUCUUGGA